This 301-nucleotide ribosomal RNA is filed under the name uncultured bacterium. RNAcentral describes it as "partial 16S ribosomal RNA". It matches the Rfam family "Bacterial small subunit ribosomal RNA", at positions 509 to 807 of the family's 1533-position model. The record is from RNAcentral.
CAGUAGCCGCGGUAAUACGAAGGGUGCAAGCGUUACUCGGAAUUACUGGGCGUAAAGCGUGCGUAGGUGGUGGUUUAAGUCCGUUGUGAAAGCCCUGGGCUCAACCUGGGAAUUGCAGUGGAUACUGGGUCACUAGAGUGUGGUAGAGGAUAGUGGAAUUUCCGGUGUAGCAGUGAAAUGCGUAGAGAUCGGAAGGAACAUCUGUGGCGAAGGCGACUAUCUGGGCCAACACUGACACUGAGGCACGAAAGCGUGGGGAGCAAACAGGAUUAGAUACCCGUGUAGUCCCUGUCUCUUAUAC